AAAAAAUCACUAUUAAUCAGCAUUACAUCUCCAUUCUCCCAAGAAUAGCAUCAAGUGAUUCAAGAAUCAGAACUCCAAUUCAAAUACAGAGAAAAGAAAUACUUCACUAUUCCUUUGCAAGUUAUCAGUCUUUGGCCACACUAGCAAAAAUUAAAACAAAAAAUGUAUAUUAUAUAUCUACAAAACAAGCUUAAACUACAAAAUUUAGCCCUAGAAUGACACCUGACUUUUGACCCCAGUGCUUACCUUUGCCAGCGAAGUUUUAUUCCACCUUCUCGCAUUAUCUCAUAGGCAAUUUUGUAUUUUUCAAGAGAUGUUGUUCCAGCCUCUACGAAUUUACAGGCUGUUUCUCUCAAACUCCACAUGAUUAAGGACUUGAGUUCCUGAGGGCUAACACCAGAUUCAAUAUCACGAAUAGUCCCAUAUUCAGCAUUUUUUGUCCACCGAUGCAAGAUAUAGCAAGGUGGAAUUUCCCUUAUAUCCAACAGAUUGAAGACUCUCAAAACAUGUCUACACAGAAUACCUUCAAAUUCAAACAUUUGACAGCUACAACACACAUUUAGAUUGGAUGCACUGAAGGUAACAGCAUGUCUCUCAGUCUCAUUCCCACACCUCCGCACUGAAUAUCUGCUAAUGGUCCCUUCUUCAUAAGUCUUUAUCCCUAGAUAGUUGUAGCACUGUAGCAGUUCAUUUUGAAAAAUUUUGAACGCUGUGAGUGUGUAAAGCCUUCUACCCUGUUCUUCUACUGGUUCUUUUGUAUGUAGAAAAGCCUGCAAAUUAUAACAAUUAAAGUCCUCUUGUCUUUCCUCAUCGCGACGUCGUGCAAGGCCUUGCUCAUAUCGUGAAAUAAACUCUGCAAGUGGUGUUUGAGCAUUCAAGUAUGUACCAAAGAAUGAUUCCAAACCUUCACUUACGGGAAUGCCAGCACAAAAUUUUCCCCCUAGGUACAGUGGCACCCAGCUUUCACGCUUUUCAUACAUUUCUCUAAGCCAAGCAUUCUCCUUCAGCGCAUAUUUGUUGAUGAGUGCACUCCACAUGGUUUUAAAGUCAACAGAUGUUUGGCUUUGAUAGAUGCAUUUCUCAUAUUCAUAUUUGAAUUCUUCGGUCAUUGACCUAAAAUUCUCUCGUUCCUUUGCUCUAAUCUGCCACAUCGAAAAACGAUGAUGAGUCCCCGGAAAGACUUUUGCAAUUGCUUGCUGGAUGGCUGCAUCUUGAUCAGCUAUAAUAGAUUUAGGUCGACAUCCUGACAUAGCUCUAAGCCAUGUCUGAAACAGCCAAGUGACAGACUCCUCUGACAUAUUGGCGAUUAGAGCACAAGCUAGAAGAACUGGCUGCUUAUGGUGGUUAACUCCAACCAAGGUUGCAAAUGGCACUACAUAAUUACUCUUCCUGUAUGAGGUAUCAAACACAAUGGCAUCACCAAAUUGACUGCAUGAGAAUCUAGACCUGCCAUCUGCCCAGAAAACACUCAUGCAACUACCAUUAUCAGCCUCCACUGAAUAAAAGAAUCCAGUAUCUUCUGCUUGCCUAGUUUGGAAAUAAUCCAGAAGCAAUUUGUACCAAUCACUUCCAAUGUUGUUUUCUCGAGCUCCCCUGCUCGGACUACCAUAAUAUAUUUUAGCUAUGUCUACAGAGUCCAAACCAUCAUUUACAUCACCAUUUGCAUCAUCUAUGAAUUUCUUUGAAGUAUUAUAACUUUUCUGUUGAGUUCCUGUUUGCAGCUCAAGAUCAUGAUUAUGACUCUUUUGAAGACGGUCCACUAUCCAAGUUCCAGAUUCUUGCCUCUUAAUCCUCAUAAAUGCCCCACAGCCUACUCUUGAAGGGUGUUGGAACCCCUCCUUGGAGCACACAAAUCGCCGGGAUGUAAUAGACCCAUCAUUCUUUGAACGAAAUAGCUGACCAAUCCGAAUUCUAAAUCCAGCACCAUCUGCAUAUAUUUGGUAAAAUUGGUAUGCUUCAUCAGCUGAAUUGAAUGCUAGACCUGCAUAAGGUUCAGCAUUUAAUGGACCUUCAUCUCCUCCCCUUUUAAGUCGUUUGACAUUAAUAACGCCAGAUGGGCAUGGCCUCUCAUUAUCAACAUCCUCAAUCAGUUUGAAUUUUGGCCUUUGAGACACAUCAGUGGGUUUGAAUUUUGGCCUUUGAGACACAUCAGUGG
RNAcentral lists this unclassified non-coding RNA (2155 nucleotides) under Hevea brasiliensis (rubber tree). Lineage: Eukaryota; Viridiplantae; Streptophyta; Magnoliopsida; Malpighiales; Euphorbiaceae. The record is from RNAcentral.